This 468-nucleotide ribosomal RNA is filed under the name uncultured bacterium. RNAcentral describes it as "partial 16S ribosomal RNA". It matches the Rfam family "Bacterial small subunit ribosomal RNA", at positions 28 to 507 of the family's 1533-position model. The record is from RNAcentral.
GACGAACGCUGGCGGCGUGCUUAACACAUGCAAGUCGAACGGAAAGGCCCUGCUUUUGUGGGGUGCUCGAGUGGCGAACGGGUGAGUAACACGUGAGUAACCUGCCCUUGACUUUGGGAUAACUUCAGGAAACUGGGGCUAAUACCGGAUAGGAGCUCCUGCUGCAUGGUGGGGGUUGGAAAGUUUCGGCGGUUGGGGAUGGACUCGCGGCUUAUCAGCUUGUUGGUGGGGUAGUGGCUUACCAAGGCUUUGACGGGUAGCCGGCCUGGGAGCGUGACCGGCCACAUUGGGACUGCGAUACGGCCCAGACUCCUACGGGAGGCAGCAGUGGGGAAUAUUGCACAAUGGGCGGAAGCCUGAUGCAGCAACGCCGCGUGCGGGAUGACGGCCUUCGGGUUGUAAACCGCUUUCGCCUGUGACGAAGCGUGAGUGACGGUAAUGGGUAAAGAAGCACCGGCUAACUACGUG